AACGAACGCUGGCGGCAUGCCUAACACAUGCAAGUCGAACGAGAUCUUCGGGUCUAGUGGCGCACGGGUGCGUAGCGCGUGGGAAUCUGCCCUUUGGUUCGGAAUAACAGUUGGAAACGACUGCUAAUACCGGAUGGUGACGAAAGUCCAAAGAUUUAUCGCCAGAGGAUGAGCCCGCGUAGGAUUAGCUAGUUGGUGUGGUAAAGGCGCACCAAGGCGACGAUCCUUAGCUGGUCUGAGAGGAUGAUCAGCCACACUGGGACUGAGACACGGCCCAGACUCCUACGGGAGGCAGCAGUGGGGAAUAUUGGACAAUGGGCGAAAGCCUGAUCCAGCAAUGCCGCGUGAGUGAUGAAGGCCUUAGGGUUGUAAAGCUCUUUUACCCGGGAUGAUAAUGACAGUACCGGGAGAAUAAGCUCCGGCUAACUCCGUGCCAGCAGCCGCGGUAA
RNAcentral lists this ribosomal RNA (449 nucleotides) under uncultured bacterium. Its description in RNAcentral is "partial 16S ribosomal RNA". It matches the Rfam family "Bacterial small subunit ribosomal RNA", at positions 29 to 523 of the family's 1533-position model. The record is from RNAcentral.